Molecule: ribosomal RNA, 376 nt
Filed under: uncultured bacterium
Lineage: Bacteria
Description: bacterial SSU rRNA
Rfam family: Bacterial small subunit ribosomal RNA
Source: RNAcentral
UACGUAGGGGGCAAGCGUUGUCCGGAAUCAUUGGGCGUAAAGCGCGCGUAGGCGGCCUCACAAGUCCGCUGUAAAAGUCAAAGGCUCAACCUUUGAAUGCCAGUGGAAACUGUGAGGCUAGAGUCCGGAAGAGGCGAGUGGAACUCCUGGUGUAGCGGUGGAAUGCGCAGAUAUCAGGAAGAACACCAACGGCGAAGGCAGCUCGCUGGGACGGUACUGACGCUAAGGCGCGAAAGCGUGGGGAGCAAACAGGAUUAGAUACCCUGGUAGUCCACGCCGUAAACGAUGGGCACUAGGUGUGGGAGGUGUCGACUCCUCCCGUGCCGGCGCUAACGCAUUAAGUGCCCCGCCUGGGGAGUACGGCCGCAAGGCUAAA